Molecule: ribozyme, 115 nt
Filed under: Aedes aegypti (yellow fever mosquito)
Lineage: Eukaryota; Metazoa; Arthropoda; Insecta; Diptera; Culicidae
Description: drz-agam-1 ribozyme
Rfam family: drz-agam-1 ribozyme
Source: Rfam by way of RNAcentral
UGUCCAGUAACUCCUACCUCUACCUUCCCGUGGUGCCGCCUGGGGUAAGAGUAACCGUAGGGAACAGCGGUUAACUAUCCUCGGUGGAACCUUGGUCGUAUGCUGACAGGUAAGG